RNAcentral lists this ribosomal RNA (440 nucleotides) under uncultured bacterium. RNAcentral's name for it is "partial 16S ribosomal RNA". It matches the Rfam family "Bacterial small subunit ribosomal RNA", at positions 339 to 795 of the family's 1533-position model. The record is from RNAcentral.
CUACGGGUUGCUGCAGUGAGGAAUAUUGCACAAUGGGGGGAACCCUGAUGCAGCAACGCCGCGUGGAGGAUGACGCAUUUCGGUGUGUAAACUCCUUUUAUAUGCCAAGAAAAUGACGGUAGCAUAUGAAUAAGCACCGGCUAACUCCGUGCCAGCAGCCGCGGUAAUAGCGGAGGGUGCAAGCGUUACUCGGAAUCACUGGGCGUAAAGGACGCGUAGGCGGGUUGGAAAGUCAGGUGUGAAAUCCUACAGCUUAACUGUAGAACUGCACUUGAAACUUCUAAUCUAGAGUAUGGGAGGGGGAGAUGGAAUUAGUGGUGUAGGGGUAAAAUCCGUAGAUAUCACUAGGAAUACCUAAAGCGAAGGCGAUCUCCUGGAACAUUACUGACGCUAAGGCGUGAAAGCGUGGGGAGCAAACAGGAUUAGAUACCUUGGUAGUC